GAAGUGAAUGCAUUCGUGUUGUUUUGCGCAAAUGUACCCAAAUGUACCCAAAAAAAAACAAAGAAAAAUGUUAUGCAAUAUAUCAGAUAAUUUAAAUACUACGUGCUAUAAGCUACAAUUAAAAUCUAGCAGACUAGUCGGAGUAAACAAUUUGGAGGAUGAUGGCUACCGUGCUUGGAAUUGGAAGGUUCAGUGCUUCUAGGUCUUGAACAGUUUUACUGUGGACGAUUGGCAUAUGUUUUAAUUUCAUUUUGAGCUUUUUUUUCACUUCUUGGUUAUUCAGACUUUUCUCCCACGAUGGUUGCCUUGACGUUUGUUGGGCAUUCUCAAGAUUCAAAGAUUCCGGCCAAUGCCAUGUUCAUUGCCGUCACGUGGCUUCUGACUCCUUGUCCAUCUUGAAUCGCGGCAUUGCUGGUCCAUUGCUACCCUUUCGAACCUUUGAUGGAAAAUUAUCGAAAACAUUAGGAAACUCACAAUA
Cylas formicarius (sweet potato weevil) is the source of this 478-nucleotide long non-coding RNA. RefSeq lists it as uncharacterized. NCBI's taxonomy places the organism in Eukaryota, Metazoa, Arthropoda, Insecta, Coleoptera, Brentidae. The record is from RefSeq and is a predicted model, not a curated record. The transcript is spliced from 3 exons.